Molecule: ribosomal RNA, 497 nt
Filed under: uncultured bacterium
Lineage: Bacteria
Description: partial 16S ribosomal RNA
Rfam family: Bacterial small subunit ribosomal RNA
Source: RNAcentral
GAUGAACGCUGGCGGCGUGCCUAAUACAUGCAAGUCGAGCGAACAGACGGGGAGCUUGCUCCUCUGACGUUAGCGGCGGACGGGUGAGUAACACGUGGAUAACCUACCUAUAAGACUGGGAUAACUUCGGGAAGCCGGAGCUAAUACCGGAUAAUAUAUUGAACCGCAUGGUUCAAUAGUGAAAGACGGUUUUGCUGUCACUUAUAGAUGGAUCCGCGCCGCAUUAGCUAGUUGGUAAGGUAACGGCUUACCAAGGCAACGAUGCGUAGCCGACCUGAGAGGGUGAUCGGCCACACUGGAACUGAGACACGGUCCAGACUCCUACGGGAGGCAGCAGUAGGGAAUCUUCCGCAAUGGGCGAAAGCCUGACGGAGCAACGCCGCGUGAGUGAUGAAGGUCUUCGGAUCGUAAAACUCUGUUAUUAGGGAAGAACAAAUGUGUAAGUAACUAUGCACGUCUUGACGGUACCUAAUCAGAAAGCCACGGCUAACUACGUG